This 357-nucleotide ribosomal RNA is filed under the name Clostridioides difficile. RNAcentral describes it as "partial 23S ribosomal RNA". It matches the Rfam family "Bacterial large subunit ribosomal RNA", at positions 1 to 358 of the family's 2925-position model. The record is from RNAcentral. Lineage: Bacteria; Bacillati; Bacillota; Clostridia; Peptostreptococcales; Peptostreptococcaceae.
UGGUCAAGUUAUUAAGGGUGCAGGGCGGAUGCCUUGGCACUAGGAGCCGAUGAAGGACGUGAUAAGCUGCGAUAAGCUUCGGGGAGUUGCACGUAAACUUUGAUCCGAAGAUUUCCGAAUGAGGAAACUCACUUAGAGUAAUGUCUAAGUAUCAUUAAGUGAAUACAUAGCUUAAUGAGGGGAACUCAGGGAACUGAAACAUCUAAGUACCUGAAGGAAGAGAAAGAAAUUCGAUUCCGUAAGUAGCGGCGAGCGAACGCGGAUUAGCCCAAACCAAUAAAGUUUUCUUUAUUGGGGUUGCGGACAUAUCAUAACGGAGAGGUAUCGUAAUUGAAGAGGUUUGGAAAGACCCACCAC